This 20-nucleotide unclassified non-coding RNA is filed under the name Mus musculus (house mouse). RNAcentral describes it as "oocyte_clustered_small_RNA7368". The record is from RNAcentral. Lineage: Eukaryota; Metazoa; Chordata; Mammalia; Rodentia; Muridae.
CUCAGGCCUCAGGACAAUAU